Molecule: long non-coding RNA, 6372 nt
Filed under: Capsicum annuum
Lineage: Eukaryota; Viridiplantae; Streptophyta; Magnoliopsida; Solanales; Solanaceae
Description: long non-coding RNA (CANN_LNC010279)
Source: RNAcentral
CACCUUAUUCUAACAUAAUCUUAAGAGGAAUAACUAGUAACUCAUAAAGAUAAUAAAUAAAAAUAUACCGAAAUCUCCAUUAAUUUGAUUCAUGAAAAAUAAAACUAAUGGCAACCACACUUUAAAUUCCCAUGAAUCUUCAAUGGGAUUUCCUAAUCCUUCACUUAGGAUUCACUCUAAUGUCUUCUUAUAUCAAGAUUAGUACAAGUUUAAGCUCCGACCAAAAUGAGCUAAAAACUCUUAUUUUAGCCCCAAUUCCACAAUUGCCAAAUAUUACAAAAAUGCCCUUAAAAAUUUUCCACUCUACUUCGAUCGCCACCUCUUUACCACAUUCACAAAUCACGUAAUCAUGGUAGUCAAACCGCAAUCGCUCUCCCAUUGAAUUAUUGACUGGUCGUGAUCGUGACCCUCAAGCCGCGAUCGUGGUAAUUAAGGGUCGAUUCUUAGGCUUGAUUUCUACAAUUUGGCUCUUUUCUUUCACAUUUAACCUCUUUUUGACUUGAAUGACUUGAUAAUCUUUGUUUUUCACCUUUUCCUAUACAAAUGUUCAUUACGUAAGAUAUUAACAUAAAAUCAAUGGAAAACCAUGAUAUUUUAGGCUUAAAAGGUGUUAGAAAAUCCCCAAAUUGACGACUUAUCACUGGUCAAGUAGAUUGAGACAUGAGAUUGAGAUUUAGGGAAAUUGGAGAUAGUAUACGAGUUUGUAACCACCCAUGGAUCGUAUUUUGGGAGCAUUGACGUUCGAUAGGUGUAUAUAGAAAGUCAUGCGAUAACUUUUCAUUAUUUACCUCAUCAUCCAUAGUACUGCAUUGUAUUUGGACAUCAUGUAUUGUUUUAAUAUAUUACUUGUCAUGUACUUAACUUCUAUAAUUGUAAGUGGAAAUGGUGUGAUCUACUAUUUAGGAACUUUUCUUUUGCAUGUUAUUUUCUCAUAGUAUAUUUUUUACAUGUUUUAUUUUCUACUGUGCUUAGUCUGCCCAUAAUACCUACUGAGUAUAAAUAGACUGUACUCACUCCUACAAUACCCUUUUGGUGCAGAUCCUAGUUUAAGUACCACAUGUGGUGGUUGAUCUUAUUGUAAAAAUUUUGGGUUUUCAAGGUACUAUUUUCUCCAGAUUUCGGUGUUUAUUUGGACCUCAUCUAUAUUUAUUUUUCUUCACGUAUGACUCAGAGACAGAUCGUGUAUUAUUAAAUAUUUAGAUGGUUGUUUAGAUGCUCUACAUUUAUGUCAUCAAAUUUUGGGAUUUAUGAUAUUUCUUUUGGAGUUUCUCUAUAAUUGUACUUGUAUUGGCCUGACUUAGCUUUAGAAGUCUCACUUAACAUGUUUUCACUUAAUGAUUUUGUUUAUUUUUUCCAUUUCGAGAUUACGGCUUACUUAUCAAGGCUGGGCCACAUUGAGUUCCAUCAUCAUCUAGGUUUUUGGGUCAUGAUACAACCCAACUAAUCGGACCAUGCAGGCACCUAGAUAAAAUUAGUUCGGAUGAUCUACAAAACAAAUAUUCGAAAAGUAUCCAUUGAAGAAAAUCUAUCUCCAAGAAAAUAGAUAUAAUUAAAGCAGAUGAAGAAAUAAAAGGUGCUAUUACAACUACAAUAUAAACAAGAGGUUAUUCCAAAAUUAAAUCAAGAUGAAUGCUUUGGUAUGGAAUAUAUGAUUGGUGGAAACACAGAAAGUAUUCACCAGAUUGAUAACUUUACAAAAAAGACAUCACUUUUAUUUUCCAGAACUGAUGGAUCCAUUUCAAGAAAAUCACAAUUACAGGAAUAUAAAAGAAGACUAGGGAUGCAGAAUGUAGUGUCUAAUACAUCAGUAAAAAUUUGGGCAUUUAUGGUUUCAAUUGUAAAUUUCAUGGUUCUCAUGAAUGAAGAGUAGUAGAUCAUCUUGAAGUUAGAAAAUUAAGAUGCAGGAGUGAUAGUAAUUGUCAUUUAAGUAUAUGCAAAAUGUAAACAAGCUAAAUGACUAUCACUAUGGGAAUCUUUAGGAGAGAUUUCACAAUCCAUUCAGGAACCUUGGUUAGUGGUAGGGGAUUUUAAUGUCAUCAUCAAUGAAAAAGAGAAUCUGGGGAGUUUGCCAAUUACUAUAUAUUAAAUAGUGGCUUUAGACACUGCAUAAAUCCAUGUAAUUUAGUAGAUGAUGCAUUCAAGGAAACUAAGUACACAUGGUAGAAUGGAAGAACAGAUGUUAAUUGUAUAUUCAAGAGAUUAGAUAGGGUUCAAUGCAAGUUUUUUUCCAAUAUUAAAGGUUGAGAAUUUGAUCAAAAAUGGUUAAGAUCAUACACCUCCAUUGCUUAACUUUAGUACUAUUAAUGAACAAAUUAUAAAAUCCUUCAAGUUUCUAAAUUUCAAGAUUAAGGAAGAAUCAUGUUUGGAAAUUAUAAGAUAGAACUAGAAAACUGAAGUGUAAACCAAACUUUAUUAUGUUCCAUCACAAGCUGAAAAGGACCAAAAUUGCUUUAAGUCAAUUGCUUAAAGAAAAUUUGGUAAUAUUUUUCAAGAAAUUACAACUUUGAAAGAGGUUAUUAAAGUUAUGGAGAAGCAGUUUGAGGAAGAUCCAUAAGGUGCAAAUAGAGAGAAAAUAUUUAAAGCUCAGAUUAAUAUAAAUUUAUUGAUCAGAAGGGAAGAAGUGUUUUAAAAGCAUAAAGCAUGUUUAGAGUAGUUUAAAUAUGGGGAAAUAAAUAAUAAAAGUUUUUCAUUCAAUUAUUAAAGGGAGAAGAAGAAGGUUGAAGGUGAAGAGAAUCCAAAAUGAAAAGGGUAUUUGGGUAGAAUAUAAAGUUGAGAUUUUUACAAAUGCUAUACAAUUCAUUCAAAAAUAGUUCUGUAAGGAAUAGGAGGGUGAAUAUUUCUUAAUGCUAGAGUAUUUGCAAAGAAUAGUAACUUUAGAGCAUAAUAAGAAGUUGAGUAAAAUCCCUGGCAUUUAGAAGAUUAAAAAAAUAGUUAUGGGGCUAUAUAAACACAGUAUUAGAGGGCCAUAUGGAAUGACAAGGGCUUUCUAGCAGGAGGCAUGAGAUACUAUAGGAGAUGAUGUGUACCAAAUAGUAGUAGCUUUCUUUUAUGGGUUUCACCUUAAAGAUUCAUCAUACAUACUAAUUUGGUUCUACUACAUAAAAUCUUAGUUGUGAACACUUUCUCUGACAUGAGAAAAAAUUUUGUAAGUAAUUUUGUCAAUAAGAUUUUCUCAAGACACGUUCAUGAUAGACUCAAGAAAUUGUUACAUGAGAUUAUUUUAGAAAAACAAAUUGGUUUUGUUUAAAGAACAAACAGUGCAGAGAACAUUCUUGUAGUCCAAGAAAUCGUCUCAUAGAUAAGAAAGAGAGGCAAACUCCCUAAUAUGGCCAUUAAUUUGGAUAUGAUGGAAACUUAUGACAAGGUGUAGUGGUUGUAUCUACCGAAGGUAUUGAGAAAAUUGGGUUUUAAUGAAACAAUCAAUAAUAUGGUGUACAGAUUAGUGGGAAACAAUUGUUAUUCAAUCCUACUGAAUAGGCAACCAGAAGGGUUUUUUAGAUCCUAUAGAGGAUUGAAACAUGUAGAUCCCUUAUCUUCUACCCUCUUUAUACUCACUGCAGAGGUAAUGUCUAGAAAAAGAGUUUAAGAUGUUUAGUAUGCCUAGGGGAAGCCCAAAAAUUAAACAUCUUGCAUUUGCAGAUGAGAAGAUCAUACUAUACAAGGAUAAACUAGGCACAGUAUAAAGAAUCAUAGCAACUUUAUAGAGAUAUGAACUUGUGUUAAGGCAUAAGAUCAAUAAGAAGAAGAAUGAGACAUACUUGCAUAAAUGUGUUUCCCUGGGGUAGUAGUGAUCAUUGAGGUUGCUACAUAUAUUUUAAGAUUUUCCUUUCACUUACUUAGGAUAUUCCACUUUUCACAUAGGGAAGAAGAAAAAUUAUUAUCAAAAUAUUAUGAAUAAAAUAAGCAGUAUACUUCAAGGAUGAAAAGAAAAGAUAUCAUAUAUAGAGAGAUAUACUUAUCAAACAUGUACUGUAAAGUAUACCCAAUCAUUGUCUAUCAGUGAUAAAUCCACCUGUUAAUGUGUUGACUACUAUUUAGCUAAUACUAGCUCAAGUUUUCUAGAACAGUCAUAUAGGAGCAAUAGGUAGAAAUGGUCAAGCUAGAAAAGCUUAUGUUUUCCAGAGAACGAAGGUGGGCCAUUGAUUUAUUUUGCAAACUGUAAUGGAAAUUUAUAACUAAGAAGUUGAUUUGGAGCACUUAUAUGCAUAGUAAGUACUGCAAAAAAGAGAAUCCUAAUAUAGUAAUAUGGAAAACUGGUUCAGGAUCAUAGGAGUGGAAGACGAUGUUAUUGUCCAGGGACCUAGUAGAACAACAAAUCUUAUGGCAAACAAGGAAAGGAAAUUCUAGUCUAUGGUUUGAUAAUUUGAUAGUUAUACGUGAUUUAUACAACAAUAUUUAGGUUAGCAAAGAUUGGGAUGACCAAUAUGAAUAUGUGAGAAAUUGGUUAUUAAAUAGGACUUGGAAUGAGCACCUGAUUAACGAAAUAUUUCCAGAAGAAGUUGUUAAACAUAUCCUGGGCAAAAUUAGAUCUCUAGUCUUAAUAGGACAGAGUGAUAGACUAGAUGGAUACUUGAGGCUAAUGGAAAUUUCACUGUGAGAUCAGUAUAGUAAUACAUUAGACAAAAGGGGCAAAGUAGUAGAACAUUUAAGGAGACUUGGAUAGAAAGGUUACCCUUUAAAAUGGCCUUAUUCAUGUGGAGGAUAUGGAAAAGAAAAGUACCUAUGGAUGAUAAUAUAAGAAAAUGGAGAUAUGAGGGGCCAUCCAGAUGCUGAUGUUGUGUGAAUAUAGCAUAAGAAACCAUACCAGAUGUGUUUCUAUGAUCAGACAUUGCUAUCAGGACAUAGACCUAUUUUUCUUCUUUUGCAAGUAUAAAUAUAAACAGUCUGAGCUUGAGGUAAACCAUUAUGGAAUAGUGGAAUGCAGAUGUUAGGCAGAGGCAAAAAGCUUAUUUUCAAGCUAUCCCUAGUAUGAUCUUUGUGGAACUAUAAAAGAGGAACAACCACAAAACAUAAAGGAAAGAGUAUCUUAUCACAGAGGGUUAUAUACAAUAUAACCAGGAAUCUUGGUAUUCUAUUGAAAGUUGGAAAACUAGCACAAGAAUUUCUAUAUGCAUGGCCAUAUAUUCUUAAGGAAUUUAAUAAAAAUAGGUCAAGAGUGAAGGUUAACUAAGUUACUUGGGAAUUCCCAUGAGAAGAUUGGAUAAAAUAUAACUUUGAUGAAGCUUCUAGGGGAAAUUCGGGAGUUAGCUUAUAUGUAUUUUGCCUAAGGAAUGAGAAAGGAGUCUAAUAUAUGCAGGAGGGGAUAGCAUAGAGAAUACAACAAAUGUAGAAGAAAAGGCAAUAGCUAUCUUUUUGGAAAACACACAUUGCAGUCACUCAUAGCAUAACAAAGUCAUCAUUCAGAUAUACUCUAUAACUUUGCAGAAAAAUUUAAUUAGAGAAUGGGCCUAUCCAUGGAUUAUAUAUGAUAUAGUAUAGUAGAUAUGGAAUUUAAUGGGAAAUAAACAAGUACAGUAACAAAACAGUCUCAGAGAAGGGAACCAAUUAGUUAAUCAUCUGGCUAAUUUUUUAAUUAAUAAGGGGAAUUUGGCAUUCACAGGCUUUCAGUGGCUAGAAUUUAGAUGUAGGAGGAUAAUUAAUAGUGACUAAUAACAAUGCCCAUACUUAAGUUUUUUACUAGAAAAAGGGUGAGGGGGAUAGAUAGGCUAAAGCUUAAUUUGUUCACAUGCAAAUAUAUACAAGCCAUGUAGGCAACAAAAAGAGUGAAACAACUAAUUAGCAUAUAGUACAAUAGCUAACAAAAAGGACUCCCAACAAAAAAGGAGGGUAACUUGUCAUAUUGAAAUUGAUAAACCUGAAGGUCAUAUUACUCUAAAUAUUUGUGGUUUCAAGCAUCUCAUUAUCUCUAUAACAGCCAUAUCUGAAAGAUGGGAAAGAUUAGAAAGACAAAUGGGUUCUUACUAAACAUCGACAGAGGGGAAAUUUCAUUCUGACUCUGAAGAAGUGAUAGUAUUCAGCUGACAGAAACCCUCAACACUGAAAAGAAGGAAGAUAUCGAUCCCAUCCACCGGAUAGCACAACUAAAUCAUAUUGUAAAGUAUGAAAAUAAGCUCAAAAUAAAGAUUUAAUCAAAGCAAAGAGAAAGUGAUCAAUACUUACUUUUGCAAGCAAAGAUAUUCAUGAAGAAGAAACAACUAGAGCACAGUGUUUUUCAUCCAGCACUAGAGCAAGAAGAAGCGUAGUUGAAUAGUGGAAACAUAGAUCAGAUGUUGUAGGGCUGAAGAUGAAAGGAAGAGUAGAUACUGAUUUUGGAAACCCUACUUUUACUCUUAUAUGUAAUAGAAUAGUGGGUUGGGUCUGGUCGAAUGUUAG